GAUGAACGCUAGCUACAGGCUUAACACAUGCAAGUCGAGGGGAAACGAUAGAGAAAGCUUGCUUUUUCUAGGCGUCGACCGGCGCACGGGUGAGUAACGCGUAUCCAACCUGCCCAUCACUUGGGGAUAACCUUGCGAAAGUAAGACUAAUACCCAAUGACGUCUCUAGAAGACAUCUGAAGGAGAUUAAAGAUUUAUCGGUGAUGGAUGGGGAUGCGUCUGAUUAGCUUGUUGGCGGGGUAACGGCCCACCAAGGCGACGAUCAGUAGCCGGACUGAGAGGUUGAACGGCCACAUUGGGACUGAGAUACGGCCCAGACUCCUACGGGAGGCAGCAGUGGGGAAUAUUGGGCAAUGGGCGCAAGCCUGACCCAGCAACGCCGCGUGAAGGAAGAAGGCUUUCGGGUUGUAAACUUCUUUUGUCAGGGAAGAUGAACAGACUGUACCUGACGAAUAAGCCACGGCUAACUACGUG
Molecule: ribosomal RNA, 474 nt
Filed under: uncultured bacterium
Lineage: Bacteria
Description: bacterial SSU rRNA
Rfam family: Bacterial small subunit ribosomal RNA
Source: RNAcentral